AUUGAACGCUGGCGGAAUGCUUUACACAUGCAAGUCGAGCGGCAGCGCGGGGCAACCUGGCGGCGAGCGGCGAACGGGUGAGUAACACAUCGGAACGUGCCCAGACGUGGGGGAUAGCCCGGCGAAAGCCGGAUUAAUACCGCAUACGAUCUAAGGAUGAAAGCGGGGGACUCGCAAGGGCCUCGCGCGUUUGGAGCGGCCGAUGGCAGAUUAGGUAGUUGGUGGGGUAAAGGCUUACCAAGCCUGCGAUCUGUAGCUGGUCUGAGAGGAUGAUCAGCCACACUGGGACUGAGACACGGCCCAGACUCCUACGGGAGGCAGCAGUGGGGAAUUUUGGACAAUGGGCGCAAGCCUGAUCCAGCCAUGCCGCGUGCGGGAAGAAGGCCUCGGUUGUAACGACUUUGUCUAGGAGAAAGACGCCAGGUAAUAACCUUGGCGUCGAUGACGGUACCUGAAGAAUAAGACACCGGCGUAACUACUGUGCCAGCAGCC
This 492-nucleotide ribosomal RNA is filed under the name uncultured bacterium. RNAcentral's name for it is "bacterial SSU rRNA". It matches the Rfam family "Bacterial small subunit ribosomal RNA", at positions 29 to 516 of the family's 1533-position model. The record is from RNAcentral.